CCCCCCCCCCCCAAACCAUCCACCCCAUCCUUGCUGAAGACCCUUCUUAAAUCUUAGCUCUCGUUCACUGGGAGUCAUUGUUUGAGUUUUGGGAGUAUUAGUGUGUGAGAGAGUGUGUAUGUGAGAGGGUGUGGUGUGAGUGUGUGUGUAUACAUACAUUUUGUCUUCUGCCUUUUCAGCUCCACAGUUACACUGCACACCUCCUGAAAGUUGAGCCUGUGUCUUGAACUUUUUCUCUCUCACAACGUCUAACACAGUACGCCAUGAGUAAAUACUUGUGACUAUUGUCCUGUACACCCUCGCCAACUCUGAAAUUUCGGAAUUCCUAGAGGACAACAAAAAUAGAAGACAGGACAUUCUGAACUGUUUUUGACAGACCGCGUCUAUGCCUCUGUUCUCCUUAGUCCUUCAGAGCUGCUGCUGGAGUAGAAACAUGGGAAACAGAGUGAUUGGGCAAGGUGAUGUAGGAGCUUAUGAAUGACUUUAGGUUCAGAAAGAUAAGGACAGUAAUCUGAAGAUACCGAGGUAAACCGUAAGCUUUGAGCAAUACAUCCAAACAGAAUAUAGGGGUUGAAAGGGAAUAACACAUUUAGUCAGCUCACAGGAUUUUAGGAGAAGUGUGGCAGAUUUAGUUUCUAUCCGUGAGCAAAAAGAUUCUGGUAAGUCUUGUCAAAUGUGCCAUUUCUCGCUAAUUCCAUGUCUCUCACUACUAGAAAAAGGUGGCGACUGUUAUCCUGCCAGGGUUCUUUCCAGCCCAUUUGUAUUGAGAUAGAAAUCUCCUUGUCUCUGAAGUUCCCUAAUCACGCUAAAUCCUGACCGUGUCAUUCCUCACGCUGUAUCAUCCCCCCUUCCGCUGUGAAUGCUACUAAUUGCUCCCAAAGGUUCUCACUGUGCUUCAUUGGUGAUGAGCACACGUAUAAGAAAAUGUAAACCAUUAUUGUACUUAAAUUCAGUUUUCUAUUUUUC
Molecule: long non-coding RNA, 966 nt
Organism: Neofelis nebulosa (Clouded leopard)
Lineage: Eukaryota; Metazoa; Chordata; Mammalia; Carnivora; Felidae
Exons: 2
Source: RefSeq, a predicted model, not a curated record